This 280-nucleotide ribosomal RNA is filed under the name uncultured soil bacterium. Its description in RNAcentral is "partial 16S ribosomal RNA". It matches the Rfam family "Bacterial small subunit ribosomal RNA", at positions 26 to 312 of the family's 1533-position model. The record is from RNAcentral.
AGAAUGAACGCUGGCGGCGUGCUUUACACAUGCAAGUUGAGCGAGGCCACCCGCAAGGGUGAGUCGAGCGGCGAACGGGUGAGUAACGCGUGGAUAACCUGCCCUGAAGUGGGGAAUAACCCGGGGAAACUCGGGCUAAUACCGCAUGAUACCGAGAGGUCAAAGAGGGCUCGCAAGAGCUCUUGCUACAGGAGGGGUCCGCGUUCGAUUAGCUAGUUGGUAGGGUAAUGGCCUACCAAGGCGACGAUCGAUAGCCGGCCUGAGAGGGUGAUCGGCCACA